UUUAAAUUUUUAAUUCUGCUCAUGACGAUCGGGUGCGGCGUGCAUAAUACAUGCAAGUGGAACGCUUCUUUUUCCACCGGAGCUUGCUCCACCGGGAAAAAGAAGAGUGGCGAACGGGGUGAGUAACACGUGGGUAACCUGCCCAUCAGAAGGGGGAUAACACUUGGAAACAGGUGCUAAUACCGUAUAACAAUCAAAACCGCAUGGUUUUGAUUUGAAAGGCGCUUUCGGGUGUCGCUGAUGGAUGGACCCGCGGUGCAUUAGAUAGUUGGUGAGGUAACGGCUCUCCAAGGCCACGAUGCAUAUCCGACCUGAGAGGGUGAUCGCCCACAUUGGGAGUGAGACACGGCCCAAACUCUUACGGGAGGCAGCAGUAGGGAAUAUUCGGCAAUGGAGGAAAGUCUGACCGAGCAACGCCGCGUGAGUGAAGAAGGUUUUCGGAUCGUAAAACUCUGUUGUUAGAGAAGAACAAGGAUGAGAGUAACUGUUCAUCCCUUGACGGUAUCUAACCAGAAAGCCACGGCUAAAUACGUGCCAGCACCCGCGGUAAUACGUAGGUGGCAAGCGUUGUCCGGAUUUAUUGGGCGUAAGGCGAGCGCAGGCGGUUUCUUAAGUCUGAUGUGAAAGCCCCCGGCUCACCCGGGGAGGGUCAUUGGAAACUGGGAGACUUGAGUGCAGAAGAGGAGAGUGGAAUUCCAUGUGUAGCGGUGAAAUGCGUAGAUAUAUGGAGGAACACCAGUGGCGAAGGCGGCUCUCUGGUCUGUAACUGACGCUGAGGCUCGAAAGCGUGGGGAGCAAACAGGAUUAGAUACCCUGGUAGUCCACGCCGUAAACGAUGAGUGCUAAGUGUGGAGGGUUUCCGCCCUUCAGUGCUGCAGCUAACGCAUAAGCUCUCCGCCUGG
Molecule: ribosomal RNA, 902 nt
Filed under: Enterococcus faecium
Lineage: Bacteria; Bacillati; Bacillota; Bacilli; Lactobacillales; Enterococcaceae
Description: bacterial SSU rRNA
Rfam family: Bacterial small subunit ribosomal RNA
Source: RNAcentral